This 469-nucleotide ribosomal RNA is filed under the name uncultured bacterium. RNAcentral's name for it is "bacterial SSU rRNA". It matches the Rfam family "Bacterial small subunit ribosomal RNA", at positions 98 to 602 of the family's 1533-position model. The record is from RNAcentral.
GCGCACGGGUGAGUAACGCGUGGGAACCUGCCUUUUUCUGCGGGACAACGGUUGGAAACGACCGCUAAUACCGCAUACGCCCUACGGGGGAAAGGUCCGCCGGAGAAAGAGGGGCCCGCGUUUGAUUAGCUUGUUGGUGGGGUAAUGGCCUACCAAGGCGACGAUCAAUAGCUGGUCUGAGAGGAUGAUCAGCCACACUGGGACUGAGACACGGCCCAGACUCCUACGGGAGGCAGCAGUGGGGAAUAUUGGACAAUGGGGGCAACCCUGAUCCAGCAAUGCCGCGUGUGUGAUGAAGGCCCUAGGGUUGUAAAGCACUUUCACUGGUGAAGAUGAUGACGGUAACCAGAGAAGAAGCCCCGGCUAACUUCGUGCCAGCAGCCGCGGUAAUACGAAGGGGGCGAGCGUNGUUCGGAAUUACUGGGCGUAAAGGGCGCGUAGGCGGCUCUUUAAGUUAGGCGUGAAAGCC